CCUACGGGAGGCAGCAGUGAGGAAUAUUGGUCAAUGGACGAGAGUCUGAACCAGCCAAGUAGCGUGAAGGAUGACUGCCCUAUGGGUUGUAAACUUCUUUUAUAUGGGAAUAAACUGUUCCACGUGUGGGUUUUUGUAUGUACCUUAUGAAUAAGGAUCGGCUAACUCCGUGCCAGCAGCCGCGGUAAUCCGGAGGGUCCGAGCGUUAUCCGGAUUUAUUGGGUUUAAAGGGUGCGUAGGUGGGUUGUUAAGUCAGUUGUGAAAGUUUGCGGCUCAACCGUAAAAUUGCAGUUGAAACUGGCAGGCUAGAGUACAGUAGAGGUAGGCGGAAUUCGUGGUGUAGCGGUGAAAUGCAUAGAUAUCACGAAGAACACCGAUUGCGAAGGCAGUUCACUGGACUGCAACUGACACUGAGGCACGAAAGUGUGGGUAUCAAACAGGAUUAGAGACCCUAGUAGUC
RNAcentral lists this ribosomal RNA (460 nucleotides) under uncultured bacterium. RNAcentral describes it as "partial 16S ribosomal RNA". It matches the Rfam family "Bacterial small subunit ribosomal RNA", at positions 338 to 795 of the family's 1533-position model. The record is from RNAcentral.